GCCGGGCCGGUCCGGUUUUCUCUUUUUUUUUCCUUUUCCUUUUCCUUUUUUUUUCUUUUUCUGUUUUUCCUUUGUAACUUUUGAUUUUGAACUCCAAAUUGAUCCAAAUAAAUUUCGGAAAAUUUAUAAAGUAAUGUUUUAUCAUGAUUCAACUUUUGGGAGGAAUUUCCACUCAAAAUAAAAUAUAUAAAAAUACAUUUUCCCUAUAAAUGCCUUUAGGGCUAUAUAACUAUUUAAGUAAAAUAGUUUUUCCACUCCAAAUAAAUAUCAAAAAUUAUGCAAUAAACCGUAUUUAUAGAUAAACCCUAUUGGUUUGAAGAUCCAAAGCUCAAAUGGGUGACACCCUAGCGUUUAAAAUGAAAUGAAACCUUUUUAAAGCGUUUUGAAAUUCAAAUUUGAAUUCAAAUAUGCAAAUGUGGCAUGAUGCUCAUGGAUGCAAUGCAUAUGAAAGGUUUUGAAAAUUUGGGAUUUUAGAAUUGUAUAACCUCAUGGGUUAUCUCCAAAGAAAAUAAAAUCUUGCAGCGGAAGGCAGAAAAUACAGGAGUCCCAUAAUAACUCCACCCAGGAUGAUUCGUUAAAAUUGUUUUGCCAGGUUUCUAAAAUGCUCCACAUUAUCUGUCUCAUGGUAAUUGAGAUUCCCUCCCACGUAUGCUAACAUAGCAUAGCAAAACAACUACUUGCGAUGGCAAUCGGUAGAAAUGUAAUGCAGGGGUAAUCUAUACUAUUAGGAGUUCAUAGCUAG
This 742-nucleotide long non-coding RNA is filed under the name Brachypodium distachyon (stiff brome). RNAcentral's name for it is "long non-coding RNA (BDIS_LNC004402)". Lineage: Eukaryota; Viridiplantae; Streptophyta; Magnoliopsida; Poales; Poaceae. The record is from RNAcentral.